UAGGGAAUAUUGGGCAAUGGAUGCAAGUCUGACCCAGCCAUGCCGCGUGCCGGAUGGAGGCCCUCAGGGUUGUAAACGGCUUUUAUUCGGGAAGAAGAGCGGGGAUGCGUCCUUGUGUGACGGUACCGAAUGAAUAAGCACCGGCUAACUCCGUGC
RNAcentral lists this ribosomal RNA (156 nucleotides) under uncultured bacterium. RNAcentral's name for it is "partial 16S ribosomal RNA". It matches the Rfam family "Bacterial small subunit ribosomal RNA", at positions 355 to 508 of the family's 1533-position model. The record is from RNAcentral.